AGCUAAUAGAUACCCUGGUAGUCCACGCCCUAAACGAUGUCAACUGGGUGUUGGGGAAGCGACUUCCUUGGUACCGUAGCUAAACGCGUGAAGUUGACCGCCUGGGGAGUACGGCCGCAAGGUUAAAACUCAAAGGAAUUGACGGGACCCGCACAAGCGGUGGAUGAUGUGGAUUAAUUCGAUGCAACGCGAACAACCUUACCUACCCUUGACAUGUCUGGAAGGCUGCUGAGAGGUGGCUGUGCCCGAAAGGGAACCGGAACACAGGUGCUGCAUGGCUGUCGUCAGCUCGUGUCGUGAGAUGUUGGGUUAAGUCCCGCAACGAGCGCAACCCUUGUCCCUAGUUGCUACGCAAGGGCACUCUAGGGAGACUGCCGGUGACAAACCGGAGGAAGGUGGGGAUGACGUCAAGUCCUCAUGGCCCUUAUGGGUAGGGCUUCACACGUCAUACAAUGGCCGGUACAGAGGGUUGCCAAAGCGCGAGCUGAGCCAAUCCCGAGAAAGCCGGUCGUAGUCCGGAUUGCAGUCUGCAACUCGACU
This 540-nucleotide ribosomal RNA is filed under the name uncultured bacterium. Its description in RNAcentral is "bacterial SSU rRNA". It matches the Rfam family "Bacterial small subunit ribosomal RNA", at positions 767 to 1317 of the family's 1533-position model. The record is from RNAcentral.